GUGAAUGUCUAUGUGUGUCUCAGUGUUAUGCGUGAGUCAGUGUGUCUGUGGUGUGUGUGAGUGUGUACGCGUGAGCGUGUCUGUGCAUGAGUGCACGCAGGGGGAAGGGCACGGUCCUGGGAAGGGUAGCAAGUGGAGGGGCUUUGCCCGCGGACCUGUCUAGAAAGGUGGUCUGGGAGCAGCAGGUGGCUGGGCAGAUGGGGCGGGAUGGCUUGACAGCCACAUCGUGAGUGGCCUGAGGCUGGGCUGGGGAGGUGUCCAUGGGAACCGACAGGCGGAGGAUGCAGAAAAACAGGAGGGAGGAAAAACGCGACUCUUGGUUGAAUUCCUGACAGGAGGAGAGGAGCUGGGUCCACCUGGGUGAGGAGGGACAGGAGGCCGGCAGGGGGCGCUGUCCACAGCGGAACCAGGUGAGGUCGGCUGCUGGGAGGGGGGACCCCCCCCGCCCCAGGAGGCGCGGGGAGAUGGGACACAGGCCUGGGGUCAGGCCCUCGGACAUGUUCAACUUGGAAGUCAGACCCCUCCCGGCCCCCACCUUGGAGCUGUUUUCAGUGCCGUAAUCCUGGGUUCUGGCAUCAGAGCCGUUGCCAUGGGGACCUCGGCGAUUCAGCAUUUUGAUGAUGGGUUCAGUGGGGAAGAAGGGGAGAGGAGGGGAGGCGAGAGGGAGGGGGAGGGGGCGGAAGUCUCGGGUUCUCUGGAUGGGGGAUGAGGAGGAAGUGGGAAGGGGGUAUAUUCCUUGCCCUCAGCUGAUGUAACAAACUGCCAACCACUGGGUAGCUUGAAAUAACAGAAAUGGAUCCUCUCCUGCAUCUGGAGGACAGACAUCCAAAAUCAAGGUCUCAGGUGAGCUUGGCUCCUACUGGAGGCUAAGGGAGCAUCUGUCCUGGGCCUGUCUCCUGGCUUCUGAUGUUGCCAGGGAUCCCUGGUGACUGUCCUUUGCCUGGUAGAGGUGUCACUCCCAUCUGUCUCCGUCUUCGCAUGGCCUCCUCCCCGCGUCCCUGUGUGUCUGCUCCUUUUCUGUCUCUCCAAGGACACUCGUCUUUUGAUCUAGGACCCACCCUAAAUCCAGGAUG
This 1073-nucleotide long non-coding RNA is filed under the name Sus scrofa (pig). RNAcentral's name for it is "lncRNA (ENSSSCG00070001507.1)". The record is from RNAcentral. Lineage: Eukaryota; Metazoa; Chordata; Mammalia; Artiodactyla; Suidae.